AGUCGCACGGCAGCACAGGAGAGCUUGCUCUCUGGGUGGCGAGUGGCGGACGGGUGAGGAAUACAUCGGAAUCUACUCUGUCGUGGGGGAUAACGUAGGGAAACUUACGCUAAUACCGCAUACGACCUACGGGUGAAAGCAGGGGACCUUCGGGCCUUGCGCGAUUGAAUGAGCCGAUGUCGGAUUAGCUAGUUGGCGGGGUAAAGGCCCACCAAGGCGACGAUCCGUAGCUGGUCUGAGAGGAUGAUCAGCCACACUGGAACUGAGACACGGUCCAGACUCCUACGGGAGGCAGCAGUGGGGAAUAUUGGACAAUGGGCGCAAGCCUGAUCCAGCCAUACCGCGUGGGUGAAGAAGGCCUUCGGGUUGUAAAGCCCUUUUGUUGGGAAAGAAAUCCAGCUGGCUAAUACCCGGUUGGGAUGACGGUACCCAAAGAAUAAGCACCGGCUAACUUCGUGCCAGCAGCCGCGGUAAUACGAAGGGUGCAAGCGUUACUCGGAAUUACUGGGCGUAAAGCGUGCGUAGGUGGUUAUUUAAGUCCGUUGUGAAAGCCCUGGGCUCAACCUGGGAACUGCAGUGGAUACUGGAUGACUAGAAUGUGGUAGAAGGUAGCGGAAUUCCUGGUGUAGCAAUGAAAUGCGUAAAGAUCAAGAGGAACAUCCAUGGGGGAAAGCGCCUACCUGUACCCACAUUGACACUUAGGCGCAAAAGCCUGGGGAGCAAACAGGGAUUAUAUACCCUCGGGGGU
This 748-nucleotide ribosomal RNA is filed under the name Stenotrophomonas maltophilia. RNAcentral's name for it is "bacterial SSU rRNA". It matches the Rfam family "Bacterial small subunit ribosomal RNA", at positions 60 to 794 of the family's 1533-position model. The record is from RNAcentral. Lineage: Bacteria; Pseudomonadati; Pseudomonadota; Gammaproteobacteria; Lysobacterales; Lysobacteraceae.